CACCUGUUCCCAUACCGAACACAGAAGUUAAGCCUUUCAGCGCCGAUGGUACUUGCUUGGAGACGAGCCGGGAGAGUAGGUCGUUGCCGGAU
RNAcentral lists this ribosomal RNA (92 nucleotides) under Clostridia bacterium. Lineage: Bacteria; Bacillati; Bacillota; Clostridia. The record is from RNAcentral.